AUGGAAAGCUUUAUUAGAAGACAUGCUUAUUUUCACAAGACAGGCUACAUGCCCAUAAAAUCCAUUAUCUGCGCAUACAGAGAAAAAAAAACACUACUGGCGAAUGGGAAGACGGUGAGGGUGCUGCCGGCGUGCAUGAACAACUUCCACCCGGCAUUCGUGGGCGAGUGGCUGCGGUUCAACAUGACAUGCCCGUUGUGCCGCGCUGCACCUGCUGUAGCAGUUUCCAGUCUCCUUUGCCCUGUGACACCAAUCGUCGGUGAUGGACUCCGAAGAAAGAAGCAGAGGGCCGACUUUUUUUCAUCUCUGAAGUGUUUAUGUAUGUACUUUUGUUUAUACUAG
RNAcentral lists this ribosomal RNA (342 nucleotides) under Triticum aestivum (bread wheat). Its description in RNAcentral is "partial small subunit ribosomal RNA". The record is from RNAcentral. Lineage: Eukaryota; Viridiplantae; Streptophyta; Magnoliopsida; Poales; Poaceae.